AAAAGAUUGGAGGAUUUAAAGCUAGUUACCAAAAAAAUAGUAGAGAUUAAAAAAUAGGUUAAGAACCCAUAGAUCUGUAGUAAAACAAGAAGAAGUUCUUACUCACAAACGAAAAAUGGCCUGAGACAGGCUGAUAAAUAAAUGUUUCAAACCGAAACCAGUCGGGGUUCCCUUGGAAAGAUCAGAAGGAUCCAAGAAAUCGAAGAGUUAUGGCGUAUGGAAGACCAUGUCCGGUCGGAGAAGACAUAGAAACAUCAUAGGAGGGGUUCAUGCCAGUGACGCUCAUUAAGGUUUGAGUUUGGUCUCAGAGAGAAUUAUGAAAAGGAAG
This 328-nucleotide long non-coding RNA is filed under the name Nicotiana benthamiana. RNAcentral describes it as "long non-coding RNA (NBEN_LNC033601)". Lineage: Eukaryota; Viridiplantae; Streptophyta; Magnoliopsida; Solanales; Solanaceae. The record is from RNAcentral.